CAAUAGUGUAUAUUUAAGUUGCUGCAGUUAAAAAGCUCGUAGUUGGAUUUCGGGUGGGAAUGGCCGGUCCGCCGUUUCGGUGUGCACUUGCUACGCCCACCUUGCUGCCGGGGACGUGCUCUUGAGUUCACGCUCGGGACACGGAGUCGGCGAGGUUACUUUGAGUAAAUUAGAGUGUUCAAAGCAGGCCUACGCUCUGAAUACAUUAGCAUGGAGUAACACGAUAGGACUCUGGCCUAUCUUGUUGGUCUGUAGGACCGGAGUAAUGAUUAAGAGGGACAGUCGGGGGCAUUCGUAUUUCAUUGUCAGAGGUGAAAUUCUUGGAUUUAUGAAAGACGAGCUACUGCGAAAGCAUUUGCCAAGGAUGUUUUCAUUAA
RNAcentral lists this ribosomal RNA (377 nucleotides) under uncultured eukaryote. RNAcentral describes it as "partial 18S ribosomal RNA". It matches the Rfam family "Eukaryotic small subunit ribosomal RNA", at positions 592 to 976 of the family's 1831-position model. The record is from RNAcentral.